RNAcentral lists this ribosomal RNA (152 nucleotides) under uncultured bacterium. RNAcentral's name for it is "partial 16S ribosomal RNA". It matches the Rfam family "Bacterial small subunit ribosomal RNA", at positions 363 to 507 of the family's 1533-position model. The record is from RNAcentral.
AAUUCACAAUGGGGGCAACCCUGAUGGUGCAACGCCGCGUGGAGGAUGAAGGUCUUCGGAUUGUAAACUCCUGUCAUCUGGGAGUAAGACCUGGCUGUGAAUAGCAGACAGGGUUGAUAGUACCAGAAGAGGAAGGGACGGCUAACUUCGUG